Molecule: microRNA precursor, 140 nt
Filed under: Daucus carota subsp. sativus
Lineage: Eukaryota; Viridiplantae; Streptophyta; Magnoliopsida; Apiales; Apiaceae
Description: sRNA DCAR_mi00115
Rfam family: MIR394 microRNA precursor family
Source: Rfam by way of RNAcentral
CUUACAUGAGUUGUUUUGGCAUUCUGUCCACCUCCACUUUGAUAAAUAUAUAUUUUCACUACUCUACUUUAAAUCUUUAUAUAUAUCCAGCUAGACUGGGAAAGAUGGAGGUGGGUAUGCUGCCAACAGACCUCUGUUAG